Molecule: unclassified non-coding RNA, 1496 nt
Filed under: Hevea brasiliensis (rubber tree)
Lineage: Eukaryota; Viridiplantae; Streptophyta; Magnoliopsida; Malpighiales; Euphorbiaceae
Source: RNAcentral
GCUACAAGUCACUCAAGGAAGGAGAGAAGUUCCUCAGUUUCACACAAAAUCCAAAGAAGAAGAACACGGAACUAUAAUGAGCGAUCCAAAAUCCAAGUUCUUGGAAGUGUAUUCACUCCUCAAAUCUCAGCUGCUAAAUGAUCCUGCUUUUGAAUUCACUGAUGUCUCUCGCCAAUGGAUCGAUCGUAUGUUGGACUAUAAUGUACCUAGAGGAAAGCUGUACCGAGGACUGGCUGUCAUUGAUUGCUACAAGUCACUCAAGGAAGGAAAAGAAUUGACUGAAGAGGAAAUUCUUCUUGCUAGCGUGCUUGGUUGGUGUGUUGAAUGGCUUCAAGCAUGUGCAGUGGUUCUUGAUGACAUCAUGGAUAACUCUCAUACACGCCGUGGUCGACCCUGCUGGUUCAGACUACCAAAGGUUGGUUUUAUAGCUAUAAAUGAUGGAAUACUUCUCCUCAGUCAAGUCCACCGAAUUCUGAAGAUGUAUUUCAGAGAGAAGCCUUACUAUGUGCAUCUGCUGGAUUUAUUUAAUGAGGUGGAAUUCCAGUCAAUCUCUGGAGAAAUGAUAGAUUUAAUUUCCACACAUGAAGGAGCAAAAGAUCUAUCAAACUACUCAUUGUCACUGUAAGUGAAAACAUAUACUGAUUGUGUUUUUCUAAAUUAUUAAAUGGUUAUUAAACAGGUUUUCUUUUUUGGUUUUACGUUUCAUACAGUUAUCACCGCAUUGUUGAGUACAAAAGUGCUUAUUAUUCAAUUUAUCUUCCAGUUGCAUGUGCAUUGCUUAUGGCAGGUGAGAAUCUUGAGAACCAUGUUGAGGUGAAGAAGAUCCUUGUUAAAAUUACAAUCUAUUUUCAAGUACAGGAUGAUUAUCAAGAUUGCUUUGGAGAUCCCAAAGUGACUGGUAAGGUUGGAACAGAUAUUGAAGAUUGCAAGUGCACUUGGUUUGUUGUGAAAGCACUGGAACUUGCUAAUGACGAACAAAAAAAAUUGUUACAUGAAAAUUACGGGAGAGCAGAUCCAGCCAGUGUUGCAAAAGUGAAAGAUCUCUAUCAAGUUCUUGAUCUUCAGGGUAUAUAUGCGGAGUAUGAGAGGGAGACUCAUGAGAAGCUAUCAGAGGCCAUUAAAACUCAUCCAAAUAAAGCAUUGCAGGCUUUAUGGGGAAGAUUCACAGGAACCAGAUGGACAGUUGAUAGAGCAGGGAAUGCUGCCGGGAACAAAUGAGAAUCAGAGAUAUAUUUCUUUGCACCUAUUACCAGCAUUUGCCUAGUUCUUGGUCUUUCAGAAUGAAACUGAUUAAGCUACUGUUUUUACUCUAAAAUGAGCUGAGGAUUAACAUCUUCCAUGGCUACAUGAAAUGCCUGAAAAUUUUGUUGAAUUGAUGUCUAGAAAAUUGUCAACCUUUCUUUUUCAAUCUCAAACAAAAUAAAUUAGCAUGAGAGCUCCUGAUAUGCAGCAAAUGUCUCCUUCUAACUUAUAUUUCAAUAUAAUGGAAUUAUUUU